AGAAGCGCUACAAGUGGUGGAGACCAGGAAGAAGGCAUCAGUAGGAAGACACCAGCCAGCAGGAGACACUCUGAGGUUGGAACCGAUCUAAUUCCCGGAUGACCAGCAGGAGGUGCCAUGGCGGGCCGGCUCUACCAUUUUUGCUGCCCCAAGCAGUGCGCCGAAUUGCCGCCACCUCGAGCGGCUGAAGAGAUAGAAGCUGCCACCGAUUUGCCACCGCAGACAGCUGAAGAGAGAGACUGCCGCUGAAUUGCCGCUGCUGUGGAAACGCCCUAAUGGCACACGGACUGCGGCCCCUUGCAGAUUGCCACCCCACGCACCUGCUUGGAAUGCUGGUGUUGGGAGCUGGCCCUUCCCACCCCUAUUUCUUUCUCUUCAAAUUCACCCUUUUUUGCCUUCCUUCCUUCCUGUUUUUCAGUUCUCCUGCCCUUCCUUAAGAGACUUAUGUUCCUAUCACCAGACUGUCACACUAAACUGGGUUUUCUGAAGGCACCGCCUUUAGACAAUUCAGUGCAGCAGAACUACCAAAAUGGCAUGAGUAGCAGGGGAGGUUCAACUUAAUCCAGUGUCAAAAACAUACUUCAAGUCUGAACUCUGUCCUGCUUCUCUAAUGAUGUAUUCUAUUACUGAUGGAACUGAUCAUUCCUACAAAUCACAGUGACAUUGAGGGGAGGAAGGGACCUUUGCGGGCAAUCCUUGCCACUGAUUGUUCUUUAAAGAGGACAUUUAUGUUUCAUACUAGUGCCUUCCCUCUGCCAAGAGGUAUUUCCAGGUUUUAAGCCAUUGCACUAACCUGCUUCUGUUCAGAUGCAAGGGAUCUCUCUCAACUUUAACUAUAUCCCACAAAAGCAGUGACGUACAGUAUUAAGUUCAGAACUAAUGGGUAAUGAUCUCUCCCUUUUGCCUUGACUCCACCUGAAAAUGCAAACCCUGUUGAAUAUCUUUCAGUUAUGAAAUCUUUGAUGUAUACUUCCCACACUUGAAAUGAGUUCUUAAUUUGUUUUGUUCAGACAACCAUGAAGUCCCACAAUCCCCAGGUCCUCUUUCUUUGCUCUUCAAAUGUCUUUUUUUUCUUUUUAUAUGCCCAAGAAUAAUCAGUGCAUUCAAGAAGAAUGAGGCAUGGAAGAGCAAUGUGGUAUUGCUGGUACAGAGGAGAGAGCGCCUGUAAAAGGCAAUGGUAUUUGUUAUGCCAUGAUGCAGGAUUUCCAGCUAAACCCAUGCCUUAAUGAAACAAUUCAAACAACUUGAGAAGCCUUUAGCAAAGAAAAAUCGCCAGCUACCCAGCAAGCUGAUUGACUUCAGCCUGAAAUAACUUGUGUGACGUGUAACACAAAGCGGAAGAUUGCUAUGAUCCAUCACAAGCAUGAGCAGCUAUAUGCAUAUGCAAAUAAGGGCAGCCACUGGACUUGAUCCUCCCUCCACAACAGUGCAACCAGAUUACUGCUGAUCAAGGUCAAAGAUGGUACCUGGCUAAGAAUAUAGGGCUAUUUGUUAAUGAGGUUAAAAACAGGAUAUUUAGGGCCUGGCAAUGAUGAACAAAUAGGGAAAGGAAGCAUAAAGGACACCCAUUUGAACAGACACACACUGGGAUAGUCAUGAUCCCGGUCCUGAGAGCAAAGAUUAGGGAGCGUUGGCACUGCUAUCAGUGCUAGACUUACCAAGGAGAUAGAGCCAUGGCCCCACCCUUUCUGCAAAAGCUGUUGCAGUGAGAGAGAGAGUUGACACACCUCCAAGAUGAAGGGGUAAGAUGCAAAUUCUUAGUGUGCAACCUCCUAACCCCAAGAUGCAUUCUACUUACCUGUGUGCCACCAAGGCAGAAUACCUGGGAGGGACUCAUCUGUAUAGCAUCUCUCCAGAGACUAUACUUCCACGAAAGCUGAGCCCCAUCAAGAUGUUAAAGAGACCAAAAAGCCCAUAGUUGAAGGAGCAUCUGCUGAAAAUCUACCAAAAUUAUACACUGAACAACUCUCCUACACUUCUGUCCAUGGGGAGGAUUUUUAAAAAAGAGACUACUGCAUCUAAUAAUCCAGUUGUGAAAUUAACAGGCAAAAACAUCAUAUGAAUGACGUUUACCCAGUGAUUUCCCAGGAGAAGUUCAAUUAACAGGUCAAUGUUCUGACACUUCCUAACCAUGAAAGGCGGUGCUAAAAUAAAGCUGCAGUUAGAAGCCUUACACAUUUUGGACUAUGGAGAUUUACCAAAUGGUAGCAAAAUUCUUCAUGAAAAUGUUUGCCACUUGUGACAAACUCUGAGGCUCGGAUCUAACUAAACUGACCUGCAUGAAGACAAGAGCAUUCAAAACAUGAGACAAGACAGUAGAUACUACAUUUUCAAAACAGUGCCCAAAGAAUUGAUUUCUCCAAGCAUUUCUUUAAAAUCUGUUCCCACUUUGCUAUUCCUAUAGUUUAAUUUAAAGAACUGGUUGAGUGUAUAGAUUUCCUAGUAAUUAAGUAAAAGAGAAGCAUUAAUGUACACAUUUGCUAUUGUUUCAUAUAUUGUGUGGAAUUUAUAAUGUGAAGGUAAAUUACAUAUAGUCAGGGCCAUCAAUACCUUUUUUGGUAAAGUGUUUUGUGUGGAAACAGCACACUGUCCCAUUAAGAAUCCUGCAAAGUAAGGACACUACUCA
Molecule: long non-coding RNA, 2626 nt
Organism: Dermochelys coriacea (leatherback sea turtle)
Lineage: Eukaryota; Metazoa; Chordata; Testudines; Dermochelyidae
Exons: 4
Source: RefSeq, a predicted model, not a curated record